UAGAUUGAAGCCAGUUGACUAGGGUUUUUAGCUGUUAACUAAAGUUUCGUGGGAUAGAGGCCCACCGAUCUAG
RNAcentral lists this transfer RNA (73 nucleotides) under Halichoerus grypus (gray seal). RNAcentral describes it as "tRNA-Asn". RNAcentral also lists the same sequence under 9 other names. The record is from RNAcentral. Lineage: Eukaryota; Metazoa; Chordata; Mammalia; Carnivora; Phocidae.